UUUCCAGCCCGCCUAGCAACACCCACAAACAACGUCACGACGCAACGUGGUUAAACAGUACGUUUAUUAAAGUAACUGGGUGAACGACACCGGAGCGGACUGCAAAUCGCAACGCUACUUUCUCGAGUGCAGAUACUCUUCGAGACGGCUAAACAACGUGUCCAACUCGCUGAGACCUUUCCGCGUGCCGUUAUCCGAUUUCCUUUCCGCCUCCUGAGACAGCCGACUAAUCACGGACUUAUCUCCGCAACCUAACAGAGGCUGGGAGCCCGACAAAAGUAAAACAGCGUGCUAUGAACACGUUGUUACCUCUGCGCGGACAGCGCCGCCACAGAGACACUUACGCAUUGCCGCAUGUCUUUGUAGAUGGAUUCUAGCGUCGAGCGCAUACUAUGCAAUUCCGUCUUGAGUCCGGGAUAGACGUGGUCGCCUGCGGGGAACACGAUCUCCAGAUACCGCCUCAACAACCAGUCCAUGACGCUGCAUCCCCAACAGCCUUUGACCACCGUACCGUCGAGCCACACGGAGUAGUCGUCCUCACGUUGCUACAAGAGGAAAACUACGUCACCCGACACGCGGAAAAGAAAGACCGUCACAAUAAACCGUACCUACGUGACCUACCAACGUAGGUUUUACUCGAUGAAAGGUGACGCGGAGAUCUUGCAAUCUGGUCGCGUAAUCCUCUGGACGACACUGCGGCUUUGUAUUCUUUAUCGUCGUCGUCGUCGCCGGCUUCGCCUCCUCGGAAGCGCCUAGAAAAAAGACGAUCAGGACCAGAGAGGAAGAGACCAUCACCGACAGCAUCACCGCAGCAUGCCGCCCCAGUCCGCCGCGGUUUCUUCUCUUGCAGGUACCACUCGUAGACUGUCAGCCUCGCGAGGAGACACCGCGGACCGGGGAAACGGAUAAGUUUACGAACAGAAAUCUCAAGAGAAAGACGCUGACCCGGCAAGUACCGUCACGGAGACACGGUGGUUUUUAUUGAAUUUCCAGUGUAUCGAGCCACCGUGAUGCAGGUACGGUGGUUUUAUGUGAAGUGCCGCUAUCUAUAGGCGAUGUGUUCCCUGACGGUGUGUGUUUUUUGGGGAUAGACAACGUGGUUCUUGUACGUGGUUUUUACCCUGCUCAAUAAAGUCACGUUUUCC
Molecule: small RNA, 1145 nt
Filed under: Human betaherpesvirus 5
Lineage: Duplodnaviria; Heunggongvirae; Peploviricota; Herviviricetes; Herpesvirales; Orthoherpesviridae
Description: RNA5.0
Source: RNAcentral